GAGUCAGCUUUCGUGGCCACUAGAUCCAUAAGUACGUGUUUCACGAGUGCAAAUGUAAAAGAACUGUUAUGUUUUCCAAUAUUUCAUAUGUAUAUGACUAGUUUACUUCAAGGUGUUUUCCUAUGGCUUCAUUCAGUUCAUUGUGGUUUAGUUCUGUUCUGUUCACGAAAGUUUCUAUCUGAUGUAGACAUGAAUAUUUCUUCCUUCGUAAAACAUUCAUUGGCAUUUGUGAAAAGUAUCAGGUGGCCCAAAUUACUUCCACGGCCCCUUAAUACAGAUACGGAGAUGCUUUUUGCAGUACCAAUUUUAGUGUUUCACUCGUGUAUAAUCUGGGUUUUUUUCUAUUGGUUAGAAAAAAGCAUGAAAUCGACAAUUGAGGUCUACUCAUUUUCUUCGGUGUGUUUCUCCAAAUCCCAAAAAUUUCCAGGUGUUUCCGGGUGCCUGAUACUGCAAAUGCAAUGUUAAUUUUGUUUACAUCUCUAACUCCGAUUAUUUGAGCGGCUGUCUUGAAGCUCGAGACUUGGAAAGAUUUCAGUUAUACACCCUCUUUAUAACCAUAUUAUUGCAAACGAGAUCAUUAAAUGCACCUUGUCAAAGUAUCAAUAAGCAAAAGAUCCACUGCUGUUUGCUUUAAGAUAUACUCCAUUAUUCAUGCACCAAAAGGGAAUUCAGAAGUGAAGGAGCAUAUCCCUCAAACUAGUAUAUAAAAUGAAGCAUUAUGCCUUGUAGUAAACAACUAAUGUGAUCUGAGUUUCUAUCAAGGUACAAAAAUAGAGCAAGAGAUGCCUAAUUCACCGCAAAUGCUCAAACCUUCCUGGGAUUUUUCACAUCUUCCAAGCAUACAUCUUCGAUAGCUAAAACAUACACUCAGCCAGGAGAGAACAAUAAAUUCUUGAGAACUUUCAAAUUUCUAUGAUGUCACAAGUGCUAAACAGUAGCCGGAAAAAUCAUCCCUUCAUCCAGCAGAAAGAAAAGAAGUUUGGGGAACAAUUUGGAACCAUCAAUAGCAGUGGACAGUCACACUAUGUAACUUGUCCAUACAGCAGACAAGCUCUGGCUCCCAAUCAUAAGCAGUAAAAAGAAAGGAAAAAAGAACUAGAUGGGAUAGAGAUUCAUUGGCUGAUGAUGGAAGUUUGUGUAUAUUGGAUCAGCCUCAAAGUCCGCAGCCUAUCUUUAGUUGUAAAUCUCUUCCUGCAAGCAAGCCGCAUGACGGACGGAUGUCUCAACACAUAAUGUUUUCUCCAAACAAUUCUAAAAUGAAAGAAACCAGACAAUGUCCAGAGCGUCCCACUCUGAUUUCCUCGCUGGUUAACGAGCCCACACGCACUCUCUCUGUCCUCCUUCUCUCUCUAAAACUCAUUUCUUCUCAUUUUCUCUAAAACUCCUCUAACCAAAAUCUCAUCUAGCUGUCCCAUACAAAAGAAACCAGACAAACUGGUCUUUCAUCACGGAAGGAGACCUCUCUCUAGUUUGUUUGUUUUUUAAUAGAUUCUCUCCUUAGAUUUCUCGAUGAGAAAAUCGUCUCUCCUAAGAUUUCAUAAUAAAAGAUUCUUUCCCUCCUACACUUUAAUAUUGUGAUUUUUAUUCUCUCUUAAAAUAUCCUCGUGUGAGUUUUUUGGUUCUUUAGAUUUGAAAAGCUGGGAGUUGGAAUUAUGUCAUAUCUAAAUUUCCUUUCAAAUUUGAAGCAAUGUUUGUCAGAUUUUUUUUUUUUUUUUUGACUAUUAGAAGACAUACGCGUAAUUCUAUUGGUUUGCAGUGAUGUUUAUCUGAUGAAGCAUACUACUGAAUUUUCAAUAUUAUUACCAUGUUUGUUAUUUUUAGAUUUGUUGCAUCGAUUGAUUAUAUAUAUAUAUAUAUAUAUAUAUAUAUAUAUAUAUAUUUGCGUCAUAUUUGAUGCAUUUUCUGCUAUUUAUGUAGAUAUUGAAAUAAAAUUAUCUUUAAAAAAAAAACCAAGCACAUACACCACUAGGUAAUAUGGUAUCCAACCAGUGAAAGGUGUAAGGAGUUCGAGAAGAAUAUGCUUGCAAUUAUGGCCCCUUAGGCCACCAGUCGCACUAAAAUGUGACAUGUUUGUCGUGCUGCAGAACCAUUUGAAGCCGCCCUUUAGUUUGAUCUUUGAUGGCUGUGUCUGGACAAAUUACCUAUCAAGUUUUGGUGUUACAAUCCAGUGUCCUAAAUUCUGCACGAAUCCCAUGUAUUCAAUUAUUUUCAAUAUUUACGUAUUUUGUCAGGUAUAUUCUGCAUAAAUUCUUAGUUAAACCUAUUACACAUGUUUCAAAUUCUAUAUUGAUACAUACACACACAUACAUGCAUUCAUACAUACAUACGCCUAUUCUUUCAUUGAAAUUAAUGUGAUUUAGUUUGUACGCAUUUUUGGGUUAGUUCCUGGCAAUUGGGCGGGUUGUGCGGGUUUUGGGUGGGUUAAUAUUGGGUUUUCACUUAAAUGGGUCAUACCCAACCCGUCCAACUUUAAAUUAGGUUGAUUUUGGGUUGGGUCAUGUUGGGUUAUUUCAAACUUAUGACCCAAAUAUGACCAACAAAUUAAUUAAUAUAUUUUAAUACAUAAACUUUUUCACAUACAUUUUAACACACAAAAAAGAUUUUUUUCACACAUUUUCAUAUACAUAAAUGUAUUUUCACACAUACAAACACACACUCACUUCUUAAGUUCCUUGGAAACACAUCAUAAAUAAAAUAAUAUUUUAUAUUGCUUGUAUUGUGAAUUUUAGAUAAUAAAUUAUACAUUUAAAUAGAUUAGCUAAAAAAAUUGUUUACUUUAUACUUUUUUAAUACUACUAAUUGAUUAAAACUUAUUUUUGUCACAACUUAUUCACACUUUUACUAUUCAUAUCAGUUUUAUCGUAAAUUGUAAUAUUCUAUGUAUUUAAAUUAUCGAAUGCUAGAUUAUAUUAUACUUGAAAAUUUAAGUAAGAGACAUAAUUUGUUGUAUAAUAAUUUUGAAAUUAUAGAAAAUAAGUUUGUACUUUAGUCCUUAUAUUCUCAAAAAUUUUAUGAUUCAUGAUUCUAGAAAUUUUGCAAACUGUUGUGAAAGGUCCAUGCAUCAGAACUACAUUCUGGGGAUAAUAUGCAAAUUGCUUUCUUCCAUUAAAUGAUUGGAGACAUUACUACAUUUUGGUUCUUGGACUCGCUAAUUAAGAGGGAAAAUUAAUUGUCUUACUGAUUGUAAGCUUCUCAUGAAGUUGAAGAUUGGAUGUAUAUGCUUCAGACGAAAUGAAAUCGUUGGACUAGCCAUGCCCAAGUUGCCAUAAUUAAUCAAAACAAAAUAGAAUCUGCAAGUCAACUAUAUUGAUUCGAAGUUAAUAUCAUGAUCUAUAUACAUAUAAUAUAUAUUAGAAGGUUUUUUUUUUUUUAUUGAUUUGAUACAGUUAGAUAAUUCAUCACCUAAUUAAUUAGAAUCAUCUAGGAUCAUACUUGAUGCUAUGGUCAUAUUAAUCUUUUAGAAUUACCACAGCUCUAAUAUAAAGCAGAAAAUAUUAUAUGCUUGUAAAAAGUACUGCUAUUGGUCCCCAAAAAAUUAUUAAGGAAAAUCCCAAACUUUUUAAGAAAUAAAUGAGAGGAGAAUUCAUGAACUAUUCUGACAUUUUUACCACAAAAAAAAAAAGGUGAGGAAAACAACAUACUCUUAAAAGGCAUAAUAAAUUAUUAUAGAAGUUGAGCAAGUUUAACUACAGCUAUAAAAGUAAAAUAAGCAUGAGUUUUUAUUUCAAAUUUCUUUUUUCUUUUAAAUAAAAAUUAAAAAAUUGAUUGAAUAUAUAUAUAUAUGAGAAUUUGAAUACAAAUUAAUUAAUGAAUUAUUAACACAUGUCCAAAUGUAAAUAGCUGGGCAUAUAUGUAUUAAAUCUUGUAUUUAUUAUUUUGAAUAAUCCAACCCGCCCAAUGAAUAAGUUGGGUUGUUCUUACCCAACCCAAUAAAACCCAUAACCCAAUUGACCCAACCCAUCCUUUAAAAUUAAGGGCAGAUUGUUGGGUUUUGGGCUUUUUUGCCGGUUCCAAUAAAUCUCCUCAACAAUACUCUUUCUAAAUCAACUUUCCCACUAAAGGUUAAAUUGUACUAAUCCACUCCUUAUAAUAUCACAAUAUUCCCAAUUACAACUCAAUUGGUUCCCCCUCCUUUGCAGAAUAGGAUAACACAGAUAUUACCAAUUAACCAAAAAGAAAAAAAAGGAAUCGGGUCGAACAGUCCAAUUUGUGGCUAAUUUGGUCAUGUGAACCUCGCAUAAUUAUGAGAAGUGACCAAACUAUCUCCACAACAAUUAGUAAGUGACAUGAUCAGCAACAUCUAUAAAUGAAGUGGGAAAACUGGGAAUACUGUAAUAUUAUAUGGGUAAAUUAGCGCAAUUCAACCUUUAGGGGGGCAAGGGGUUAUUAGAAUUAACCCUAUUUUUUUCUAUACCUAUCGAAUAAUCUUAUAUUUGUCAUUUCAGGAGAGACUAAGUGAAAUCUGGUCGGCAAAUCAAUCCCUACUACAUUUGUCUCAAAGAGCAGUCAAGGGCACUGGGUAAGAAGGACCGAGACGCUACUUGCAGAACCCUAAUCCAUGUUGGUGGGGGUCCUUUUAGCAGCAGCUUUAGUGUUACGCUCGUGUCUAACGUGGGGCUUGUAUUGGAUAGAAAAGAUGGAAUGAGCAAUUGACGUCUUUUCAUUAUCUUUUGAUGUACUUUACCACCACAAGAUUCCUCGUUACUCGUGGUGCUGUGUCAGUCAUUGGGGUAUACUUGAGUCCUGUUUGGAUUGUAAUUUUCUAAAAUUUUUAGGGUUUAGUUGUGAUUUAUUGAGUGGCUGUUUUGAAGUUCUUGGGACUUUGAUUAACAUCUCAGUUGUAGACCCUCCCUACAACAGAUCAUUGCAACAAAGAUUCCACUCAAAAUAUACUGUCAAAGAAACAUUAAAUAUACCUUUUUUUUUAACUAAGGGUUGAUUACACUUUAUAAAACUAGGAGUAUUUUCACUUUGCCCCCCGGAAUCCAAACAACAGAUCACUUUGCCCAUCAAUGACUGUUACGCUGGAAAAAGUGACUGAGAAAAGCUAACUUGAACAAUUUCAGAGUAGAGAAGAUUUGCAUGGAGCAAUCAUAUCCUUCUUGUCAUUUAGAAGAGGAUAUAAAUAUUAACCUAGAAAAAAAAUAAAGAGGAAAAAGGAAAAUUUUGCAUCACAUUUUUAGGUUCAAUUAAGCAUAUUUCGCAGCUUCCAUUGAUUUCUACUUUGAUUGAACAUGUUGUUCUAAAUGACUUUCUAUAGCUUAAUUUUAAGUUUGAGGUCAAAACGUGUAGACUCAAUUUGAGGAGCACUUUAAAUAAUGCUGAACUUUAAUUUGUUGCAUUCUUGUUUAUUUCAUAGUUGAUUAAAGCUAGAACCACUUAGGAGAUGUCGUAUUAAACUUAAUUUUAAUAUCGGUUAAAUUACAUAAUGCCAAAUAUUCCCCCUAAAUUUCAAAAUAGCCACGUAAACCCCCAUAGUUUUGUGUAAAGUAAAAAAAAUGAACGAAAUGUACAAUCAAUUAUAGCAUUUGUAUCAAACAUGCUCUAAAAGUGCUCUAGUAUGUUUUUUUUUUUUUUUUUUUGUCAGCAACGAUACACUUGUAUAACCUAUUCUAUCCUAAUCUAGGAGGGAGGGGGAGCCUAAGGAGACUAUGGUAGAGGGUUAGUGGAUAUACAGAUCCAACUAGAUCAAGAAAGUGCUCCGGUAUGUUAUUUAAAAGAGGAGAAACUCGAAAAUGUUCAGAGCUUCCCUUCUCAAUUCCGACCCGCUGGCAAAGCCUAUACACCAUUUUAUAUUAUAGAAUACACCUCAACGGUCUCCAAUAAACAGUAAAAGCAGCCACCAAUCGUGCCACAAAAAGAUACAUAUACCACAACCAUUUGGAUACACCACCUGUCCACAGGUCCAAAUUUCAAAACCUUCAAUUAGUUUAAAGGAUUUAUUUUGAGCAAUUAUAUAACAAGUAUUGGAAUUUCAGCCUUGUAAAUUAGGCCCAUCUAGUCUUUUAAUGUCAAUUUUUAGAAAUCUAGUCAAGUUCUAAUUUGUUUCUUUCAUACAUGUUCAGCUUUAUAUGUAAACAAACACAUACACAGACAUAUACAUGAAUCUAAUUGUUCGGUAGAAUAUGGGCAAUUCUAUAUCUAUUGGAUUUGUCCAAGCCGUGAGUUAGGAUCUGGUCCCGAGUAAUUAUGAAAAAAAAGUUAAUUUGACAACCUACAAAAGUAAUAACGAAGACUAUAAUAAAAUGUGGAAAAAAAUAUUAAAAAAUAAUGACACAAAAAUUUACAUGGUCCGGUCAAUUAGACCUAUAUCCAUAGAAGAAGGUGAGCAAAAUUCAUAAUCAUAAUGAAGAACACAAAGCUUGGGACAUCUUAAAGCCGCAAAAUAAAUGAGAGACAAAUGUAAAAGAGAAACUCGAGAUUGAACAAACAAGGAAGGUUUCCUAACUUGGAACUCUCAACUCUCUCGGCUGGCUUUUAGAAAGAAAUGUAGUAGUGGAAUGGUUGGUGCCCCAAUACCACAAAAUAUGAAAGAGACUAAACAAGAAAUCUCAAUACUACACAAAAGGGGGAGAAUUCCCUAAAUGAGUUUAUGUCUCUGGUAUAGAAGUGGCAUACCAAAUGCCUUGCCAAACCCCCUAUUUAUAGGAGAAAUUCUUCAAUAUGAAACCACCAUUCGAACUUGAGUUGCUACUGAAAUUUUUGACUGCUAAAGCCUUCAAAACAAUAGUAGAGGUAUGACAUAGGAUGGUGAAUACGUACAAAGAAAAAAAUGUCCAUGUAACCCACAAAGCUUGACGGUACCAUAAAUGAUUUUACAAGGAUGUCAAAAGACAUAUUUCAACAAGUCUCCACCUUCACUUUGCAUCUAUCAUACAGUAAAAUCGAAAAAUAGUAAACUUGAUCCACCUUCUCCUUGAAAACUUCAACGAGCCAAUAUAAAAAAAAAUUCUAAUGGAUCCCAAUGGGCAAAUUAUGAAAACCUCAACAAAUUCCAACAUGUCAAAUUACGAAAGUCUCAACAAAUCCCAACAAUUUAAAAAUACAAAAUCUCAACGGAUUCCAAUGGGCCAGAAUCACAAAGGCCUAAAUAGAUCCCAAUAGGCCAAAAUCAGAAGAGCCUUAAUGGAUUCCAACUGGUCUAAUUUACAAAAGUUUUAACAAAUCCCAACAGGCCAAAAUCACAGAAGCAACUAUAGAUUCCAAUGGGCCAAAAUCACAAAGUUUUCAAUGGAUCUUAACAAGUUUAAAGUCACAAAAGACUCAAUAGAUCCCAAUGGACAAAAAAUCACAAAAGUCCAAAUAGCAUAUGGUAAAAUUGGAAUCAAGCAAAAUUGAUGUUGAAACAGUAACAGUAUCUAUAAUAGUAAAUUCCUGCAAAAUAUAUAAAGUACCAAACUUGUACGUCUUCAUCAUAACAAUAAAGCACUUCAAGUGAUAUUUAGAAUUCCACCUUUAUCUGUGUACCUUCAAACAUAUAAAGCUUAUAUAAACUUUAGUUCAAGUAGAGUCAAUUUACUAUCGUCUUCUUUAUGUAUAAAAGCUCCAAUUUAUCCCACAAGUCUUUGGCCGUCUUUAUUGAGCAAUUUCAUGCAAAACCUCAUCAGAGAGAUUUAGGAUAAUCGCCGAGAGGGCUUUAUUAUCCAUUUCUUUAGAUUGCUCAUCCAUAUUUUUUUUUGGCUUUUUCUCCUUUUGAAGUAACGCUACUUCUACUCCAUCUUACAUGAAAAUAGCUUUCAUUUUAAGCUACCACAAAUCGAAACUGACACUUCGAUCAAACUUAACAGUAUAGGUCUUUGUUAUCGUCACAAUGGUUGAAGCAAAAAAAAAAAGAACUGAACCCGAGAUAACUGGUAUGUGAUACCAGUUUGUAAGGAUCUGGUCUCGGGUAAUUAUGAAAAAGUUAAUUUGACAACCUGCAGAAGUAAUAACAAGGGCUAUAACAAAAUGUGGAGAAAAAUAAUAAAAGACAAUAACAGAAAGAUUUACGUGGUUUGGUCAAUUAGACCUCCAUCUAGAAAAGAAGGUGAGCAAAAUUCACAAUAAUAAUGAAGAAUACAAAGUCUAGGACAAAAUUUCUAAAGCUCCAAAAUAAAUGAGAGACAAAUAUAAAAGAGAAACUCAAAAUUGAAUAAACAAGAAAGGCUUCCCAACUUGAACUCUCAACUCUCUCGAUGGCUUUUAGAAAGAAAGGUGGUAGUGGAAUCGUUGGUGCCCCAAUAACUCAAAAUAAGAAAGAGACUGAACAAGAAAACUCAAUACUACAGGAAUCAGGAUGGCUUUUAGAAAGAAAGGUGGUAGUGGAAUGGUUAGUGCCCCAAUGCCUCAAAAUAAGAAAGAGACUGAACAAGAAAACUCAAUACUACACAAAAGGAGGAGAAUUCCCUAAAUGAAUUUAAGUCUCUGGUGGUAGAAGUGCCACACCAAAUGCCUUGCCAAACCGCGUAUUUAUAGGAUAAAUUCUUCAAUAUGAAACCACCAUUUGAAAAUGAGUUGCUACUGAAAUUUUUGACUGCUAAAGCUUUCAAAAUAAUAGUAGUGCUAUGACAUUGGAUGGUAAAUAGAUAAAAAGAAAAAAAUGUUCAUGUAGCCCACAAAACUUGACAGCAUCAUAAAUGAUUGGGCAAAUUACAUUUUACCCCCUGUGAUUUAGCAUUUUUUAUAUAACCCCCUUAUGGUUUCAAAAACUAUACAUAACCCCCUCAUGGUUUGGAUUAAAGUGUCAAAGUGACAGAAAUAGUCAUUCGUAACGGAACUUUUAAAAAUGUCGAAAUUACCCUUAUAAAUGCAUGACACUAAUCCCGUAUGAUUUUUACAUUUUACCAUAUAACCCCCUUAUGGUUUAAUACUUUAUCAUAUAACCCUCUUAUGGUUUUCAAAAUAUACACAUAACCCCCAUUGGUUAAUAAAUAAUUUUUAACUUUACAUAAGGAUAUUUUUGACAUUUUAGGUGACUCCGUUACGAAUGAUCAUCCCUGUCACUUUGACACUUUAAUCCAAACCAUGAUGGGGUUAUAUAUAACUUUUGAAACCAUAGGGGGAUUAUGUAAAAAAUGCUAAACAAUAGGGGGUAAAGUGGAAUUUGCCCUAAAUGAUUUUACAAGGAUGUCAAAGACAAAAUUCAACACAGCAGUUGAUGAUAUUAGUUAAGAUGGAGGUCAGAUGCUAUUUUCCCAUAGACUUAUUAUUAAAUCGAGAGUAUCUAACAAGUUUCCCUGCAACAUGUCAGAAAAAUCAAUAUUUGGUUUAGCAUUUUCUACAAUUAUUAAAACCAUAGCACGAUACAGUUAACACUCCAAAUAUGAUUAAUUUGAAAUUGGAAUGAAUAGAAUUAAUUGUGAAUUUUUAAUGAAUGGGAAACUUUGUUUUGUUUUUGCGCAUUACUAUUUUAUAUUCUAUAUUUAUUAUUUUAAUAUUUAUAUUUAUUGUGUUAAUGCUUACAUUUUACGGUGGAAAUGGGAUUAAAUAUUUGUAGCUCCACAAUGAUUGACGUUCAUAUCGGCCUUUUUGCACUUUUAUCUUCUCGAGUUAAUCACGUGUGCAUUAAAAUAUUUCUAGUGUAUACACGCAUAGUGAGCUAUCUAGUCUUUUCCUAACCAAUAAUAGAAUGGCUCAAAAUUUUAUUAUCCCAUGAUAAAACAAAUUCUUCCCGAUCUUUACUUCUUUCCUCCAAGAAGUGGCCUGUGCACAUUAAUUACAUUGGAAAAACCACUCUUAACUUAAUCAUACUUCCUCUGGGAUUUUAAUGUGCAUUGCCAGUCCAAGAACUCAAUAAGUUAAGUGAAACUAGCGUUGAUUAAUUUUGAGGGCAAAUUACACUUCACCCCCCUAUGAUAUAGUUAAUUUUCACAUAAUCCCCGCAUAGUUUUAAAAAUUAUAUAUAACCCCCUCAUAAUUUGGAUUAAAUUGUCAAAGUGACGGAUAUGAUCAUUCGUAAUGGAACUUAUGAAAAUAUCAAAAUUACCCUUGUUUAAAAACCAAAAUGGCUGAAAAAAGAAAUAUAAACAUAAUAUGCAUGACACUCUAACCCUGUAUGAUUUUAUAUUUUGCCAUAUAACCCCCUUAUAGUUUAAUGAUUUACCAUAUAAUCCUUUUAUGAUUUUCAAAUAUAUACAUAACCCCCUGUGGUUAAUAAAUAAUUUUCAAUUUUAUAUAAGGGUAUUUUUGACAUUUUAGUUGACUCUGUUAUGGAUUUCAAAUUUCAUCACUUUGAUACUUUAAUUCAAAUCAUGAGAGGGUUAUGUACACCUUUUGAAACUACAGGAGGGGUUAUAUAAAAAAAAUAUACUAAAUCACAAGGGGAUAAAAUGUAAUUUGUCCUAAUUUUAAUGAAUGCCGUCAAAAUAAAGAGUGAAACUAGUAGUAUAACUGAGUAGUAUGGAACAUCCUAUUCACAGCAAUGUUUUCAAACCCGGACCGUCAAUCGAACCGGUGAGAUGAAAGGGUCGAGGUUCAACCGGUCGGACCGGUUCAACCGGGGUUCAAUAAAUAUAUAUAUAUAUAUAUAUAUAUAUAUAUAUAGACACACACACCUAUGCAUAGAAUAAGAUAUAAAUGCUGAACCACAAUAAAUAUAAGAGCAAUAAUAGCACAGAGAUUUAAAGACAUCAGAUAUACUUUUAAAUAAUAGCACAGAAAUUUAAAGACAUCAAAUAUACUUUUAAAUAAUAGCACAGAGAUUUAAAGACAUCAAAUAUACUUUUAAAUAAUAGCAUAGAGAUUUAAAGACAUCAAAUAACUUUCAAAGACAUCAAAUAAGUAUACGAUAUGAGUCACUACAAUGAUGUAUGAACUUAAAGCGGCAAAUCCACACACAAUAUUAACUAGUGAAAAAACUCUUCCAAAAUGAGUAGGCCUGCAAAAAUAAUGUCAAAAACUGAUGCAUCUUGUUAAAGAGGACAAACUAAUUUAUAGAGAAAACUUGCUAAAUCAAGAUUGUUACUGACAAGGCAAAAGGUUUUUAAAGUCUUUGAACUAAUGAUGGGCCAGUUGAAUCACAAUAAAAAAGUAGGCUUGUAGCAACUUGAAAAAUGAAAUAGAAUUGUAGCAACUCAAAAACGGACCGAUUCAAUUUGUUUGUGAUUAAGUUUCAAAGAAGCAAACCACCUAAAGAAAUUGUGUAAACCACACAUAUAGAUUAUUAUAAGAAACUAAAACCUCUAAAAGCAGAUAACAAAACACCAAUCACAGCUAUACAGUCACUUAAUUAAGGGAAAAUCGCCAAAUCCUGAGUUGAAAAGCUCGCUGCAGAAUUGCUUUUGGAACACAUUUUCUUCCUAGUAAACUUUCGGUUGCUGCACAGAUUUUUUUUUCCCUCAGCCAAGGGUCCAUUUUCCUAGCUAAAUUCACAGGCAGCUUAAGUAUCAUGUAUAUUAGACGCGUAAGAGGUUAUUACAGAAUUUUACCUUCCCUUUUCCUCCUAGAAUUUGAAAGUUGCAGCCUGCACUUUUAGUUCCUGCUUCAGUUCUUCCUAAGCCGCACCAGUCACUCAUUUUUUCCUCACUUUUGGGUCACGGUUUCCAGGUUACAAGCGGGAGAAAUAAAGCUAGCAAAUUUUUAAUUCUCUCCCUCACUCUCUCGGUUGCAAACUGGAAGCAAGGAGGAACCAGAAAUGUUUUAUUUCUUCUUCAAUUUUAUGUUCCAGCUAAGCAUUAUAAUUGCUACAAUCUUCAAGCCAGACAACAGAGCCAACUAACGAGUAAAAAAAAAAAUUUGCAGGACAAACAGACUUAUCUAAUUUGAGGACAAACCAGAUUUUUUCCAUUGAUGAAGGAACUUAAUAAAACUAGUGACGACGGUUCAAGAAGCAAGAUACAUAUAGAUCUCAUUAAACCUUCAACCUAAAAGAACCCAGUUUCUGGAACACUCUCGUCAAUGAUUAGAAGAACGGCAGGCCGUCUGCGAGGAGAGAGCUACAGGGCCCACGUCCAGCUCCACUAAAGUAAGCAAAGACUCCCACAAAAUCAAGAAACCACCAGUUGCACCGCUGCUGCACCACCUCAAUCACCCUGCUCAGCCGCACCUUCAGCCCACAGUCGACAACGAGCACCACCAACCAGUGGUCAUCUACGCCGUUUCUCCAAAAGUGAUCCACACCACACUUUGGAGAAAGGAUUAGAGAUUUAGAGUAAGGGACUAAGGGGAGAAGGAAAUAGAGAUGGCGGCAUGGCGCAGGCAAGGCAAUUGUAGAGAGAGGAACCAGGACGACCGAAGCGGCGAAGUGAAGUGCGAAGAGGAACUGAGGAAGACUGGAGCGGCGAACUAGCGAAGCGCCGAAGUGAGAAAUGAAGAAUGAAGAUUAGGGUUCGGUCAAAAUUGAAGUUUUUGUCAAUUUUGACUCAAAAAUUAGAAAACCGCGGUUCACGGUCCGACCCGAUUUUGAAGAUUUGAACGGUUUUUAACAGUUUUGACCGGUUUUUUAUAAAAGUCAACAUAGGUUAUAGACCGGACCGGACACAUGGCCGGGUCGCGGUUGAACUGGUCGACCCGGCCGGUCCGGUCCGGGUUUGAAAACAUUGAUUCACAGCUAAGAGUCCAAGAUAACUGCGAAUUACGGUUAGGCAGUAAAGAUUGAGGUAUGGUGCAAUUAAACACGAUUGCUAUAUUAAAAAAAAGAAAAAGAAAAGAAGAACACCAUUGCUAUAUUUCGUGCAACUAGAAGUCAAUGCCUUUACCCAAGUUGUCGCUAACCAUGUGUGUGCUCAAAUUUAGUACUAACGACUUCAAAAGUCAUCGUCGAAUUUUAUCAACAGUGACAAGAUUUUUGUUGACACUGAAAAUCUUGUCACUAAAAGUCAUUUUUAUUGCAGUGAAAUUUCAAGAUUCGAUAUACAUUUGUAAACAUUAUUAUUUUCAUAUGUUGAAUUGGAGUAUACAAAAUGCAAUUCACGCACACGAUUUCGUUAUAAAGGCGUCACAAACAACAAUUUUACGAGACUAUAAAAACCAGAAUUGUACACAUGCCUCAGAUCUUUAGUCUAAGACCAUAGAACAAGGGUAAAUGAACUGUAGGGUACAAAUUGGCAUUUCGUGACGCCUUCCACUUCCCCUCUUUCACCUUCUGCGCUCCAUUCAGGUAGAGACUCGAACACUGAGCAUGGAGGGUGGAAGGUUCCUUCUGAAGCGCUGGUAUCAAUCUCCUGACUUUGAUGUUUCCUUGUGCAUUUUAAUAAGAGAAAAAAAAACCUCAAUCAUUCUUCUUCCAUUCACUAUAUAUCUCUAUAUAAGAUGCCAAAACUUGUUUGUUCGUGAGCUUCCCUUUCUUCAAACAUUUCACUUCUACAUUUUUCUGUACACAUUUCUGUCUCAUACUUAUACCAAUAAAUUACAGUGAAUUACGAACUCAAGAAGACCCACGUUCAUGGAUAAUCCAGUGAGUUCAUGGUUCUCUGAGCUGGUGAGUUUUCUUCCUUUUUUCACUAUUUAUGAUGAGUUCUCCUUCGCCAUGAUUUUACUUUUUAGCAGCACUAUUGGCACAUUGAAAAGCUUGAGAAAUACAGACUUCCACGAUACCAGUGCUUUCAUCGCUUCAUUCAAGUUAAAAAAAAAAUAAAUAGCCUGUCAGUAUACCUUAAUUUUUUAAAAAGUUUUGGUUUUCUUACACAACUACUUUUUGGCUAAAAGUAAGAUUGUACGUAACAUAGUUCAUUUUCAUUCUCAAAUUAGGAAUUCCAAGCCAGAUUUUUUUGCUUUUUUACAACUACUGGUAAGUGCUGAGAAUAAUGGCUUAAGCAUACGGUCAAUGGAGGAUUCAAAACUCAAAAAAUGGAUUUUUCCUUUUCGGGCAUAAUAAAAUGAAAAUUUGAAAUCUAGGAGCACGUAAAUAGCCUUGAUUUCUAAAUCUAAUUUGAUGUACUUGUCGAUCUAGCAUUAAGCUUCGUUAGAACAUAUUUUUUACCCAUAAUAAUGUAAAAUUUCCAAGGAGUUUCAAGAACUGCAUAUCUCGUAAUUAAAUUGGAAAAACUUCCAUUGAUCACUUAACCAAUUUCUUAUACAUUUCCACUUUUCUUUCAAAUACAGGGAAUGGAAGAUUCAUUUUUCAAUGACCAAUAUGAUGUCAUGGACUUUCUUGAUGAAGAAUUCCUGAAUGCAAAUUUGUCCCCGGAAGGGAAUACUUAUUCCUCCACCUUCAUUCCAAUAAGCACUUGCAGUACCACUUUGUCUGCACUUUCAGCUAUGGAUGCUCCUCCAAUUAGUGCUGAAAGACCGGCAAAACAGCAAAAGUCCGAUGACUUGAACUCUUCCAGUCUUGGAAACAUCCCAAAUCAUCAUAAUCAGCCAAUGAUUCUCACUUUUGGCAAUCCAGUUAUGCCCGCAGAAAUAAAUCCACAACAGAUAAAUCUUGAGGAUGAUGCCGUGUCUGAGAUUUUGAAGUCCCAUGGUUCAUUUGUAAACCUUGAGGAGGCAACCAGAAGUUCCCAGAAGAGAAAGAAAACAGGUGGCCGCACUAGGCCAGCAUCGCAAACUUAUGAUCACAUUGUAGCAGAAAGGAAGCGCCGCGAGCAGCUCAGCCAGAGAUUUGUAGCUCUAUCAACUCUAGUUCCCGGCCUCAAGAAGGUAAUUUAUGAAUUUAUUAUUACAAGAAUGACAAAAACAUCAAUAAACCAACAAAACGUUUUUGAUAUUAAGAUCUUAUUGCUGUCGCAGAUGGAUAAAACUUCUGUUCUUGGAGAUGCUAUCAGUUACUUGAAACAUCUUCAGGAGCGAGUGAAGACGCUGGAGGAACAAGCAGCGAAACAGAACAUGGAAUCGAUGGUGCUUGUGAAGAGAUCACAGCUCCUAGUUGAAGAUGAAGGAUCAUCAGAUGAGAUGGGUGGCUCUGAUGAGCAGCCACUCCCUGAAAUUGAAGCUAAAUUAUGCAAUAAAAAUAUUCUUCUCCGAGUACACUGCCGAAAUCAUCGAGGGGUGCUGGUAAAAAUUCUUUCUGAGGUGGAAAUGCUGAAUCUUACUGUUAUCCACACAAGUGUUGCGCCAUUUGGACGUUUGGCUCUUGAUAUUACUCUUAUGGCCGAGGUGAGGUCAUAGUUAAGGAAGAUUUAUUCGGGUUAAUCUUUUGAUUGGCAAUGAUACAUCCUUUUUUUUUUUUUUUGGUUUGUUCUAAUUCCUUAAAGCAUUUUUCCAGAUGGAGAAAGAAUUCAACCUGACAAUGCAGGAAUUAGUUAAAAGUAUUCAAUCCGCCCUUCAGCGGGGCAAACAAGGCGAUUGAAUGCUGUUCGACGUCUGGCAGUUAUCUACUAGUGCUGAUUGACAAGUAUGCAAAAAGAAAUUGUAGUGAAGACCAUGAAUGUAGGAAGGCCAAGGUACAAGGAAGUAGAAUUUAUGGAUGACCAUGACCGUCUUGAUCACGGGAUUAGACCAAAAAACAGUAUCCUCGAGGGUCUCGUGGGCUUUUGAUUGACUAUGUUGUUUUUCAUUUUCUCGUAUACUAAUAUAUUACCAUGUCCUCCAGAGGGAUUUUCCUGAUUGGUUUUCCACUUCUUGGCGAUCAUUACUCUCAUUUCGCUUGUGUUCCUUAAAAGAAUGGAUAAAUUUUUCUCUUGUAUCCAUCUUUUCCUCCGUCAAAAUAAUGAUAAAAAAAUUUUGGCACAUAAAAACGCACUUAAUGAUAGCUUUUUAAUAAACAUAGAAAUAUAUGUCGGAAGAGAAUAAGAACAAAACCAAAAAUUCGCCAUCAAGCAGUAAAUGAUUUUAUUCACUCAAAACUCAUCAGCUUUAAACUAAGAAUUCUUUCAAAUUUUGGAGGCUUUCCAAAAUUUCUCUGUUCAGUCUCUCUUCAGCUAAAAUUUUCAGCCAAGCACCAAUUUAUAUAUGGGCUACAAUUGCAUGCCAGAGAAACUAAUCAAAUGCAACAGACCAGUAAAAAUUCUGGCGCGGACUUAAGGUACUUGGAUUAGAAUUUAGAACCGAAAAAUGAUUAGUAAUCUGCCUAGGGCUAUGAUGAACUAAGUUACAAUUAAAGGACCAACGAUUAUACACAUGACACACAAGCUAAAUAAAUUAACUAAGUCUGAUUUGAAUAUGUUAACAAGAAAUGUGAAGUUUCCCCUUUACAAUAAGGAUAAUGGUGUAAACUACAACACAUGAUAUACUAAAAAAAAUCAACAUUUCCUCUCUCCUCUUCAGGAUCUGACAAAAUAUUACAAGGAGAAAUUACAAAAGAAACCAAAAAAGAAAAAUGAUUAUAACUUCCAUUAUUUGUAUAUGCAUCCUAAGAAGGGACCUUUAUUAAAAUGUUAAAACUAAUAUUAUCAUUUUAGGUGGAUAAUAAAAGUAGGUAUUAUUUUUAAAAUCUCGAGGGAGUUCAGUAAAAUUAUCAAAAAUCUCAGAGGAAGUUUUUGAAAUUACUAUCCUACUUAUUAUGCACAUAUUUAGUAAUAAUCAUGGUAUAGAUAGUUUCAAAAUUGAGAACUUAACUAGACAGGCAUGUUAAGUCUUAGUAAUCUUAAUAGGGUAAAAUAUACUUUACCCCCUUGUGGUUCAGCAAUUUUUCAUAUUAAUCCUCCUGUGGUUUUAAAAAACUAUAUAUAAACUCUUUCAUGAUUUGAACUAAAGUGACAAGUGACAAAAAUAAUCCUUUGUAACAGAACCCAUAGAAAUGUUGAGAUUACCUUUGUUUAAAAACUAAAAUGGCUAAAGUGACCAAAAUAUAUAAACAUAACAUACAUGACACUUUAACCCUUAAUGAUUUUGUGUUUUACUACACAACCUCUUUUAUGGUUUAGUGCUUUACUACAUAACCCCCUUAUAAUUUUCAAAAUAUAUAUAGAAUUCCCUAGUGGUUAAUAUAUAAUUUUCAACCUUAUAUACAGAUACUUUUAACAUUAUAGUUGGUUUCGUUAUGGAAUGUACAUUUCGUCACUUUAAUACUUUAAUCCAAAUCGUAAGAUUAUAUAUAGCUUUUGAAACCACAUGGGGGUUACAUGAAAAAAAUACUAAACCACAAGAGGAUAAAGUAUAAUUUACCCAUCUUAAUAUAUCAUGUUGUCUUAUUUUAUCCAAUGUUACAACGCAUGGAGGAAAAUUACUUUCCGUUGCUUGUUCUCCCCAUUUGCUUAUUGUGCUUUAUUCUUUUGAUACAAGUAUCCCAAUUGACCUGUUUUCGUUCAUAAUAUGGUAAAAAUGAACUAUUCAUACUAGACGAAGUUUACACAAGGCUAGUUCAACAUUCGUUAUGUAACUCAGGUGGGAUAAUUUAACAGAGCACUCCUAGGUGUUAAAAUUAAUCGCGACACGAGUGUACAAUUAUGCAUAUUAGACCAACUUGAUCAAGUAUUUAAGUUGGUUGUGAUUGAAGAGAGGGACCUUAAGAAUUAAAUGACAACACAGUCGAAAGAAAAUUACUUUUAUUUUUUUUUUGUAGGCAACAUCAUCAAAUAAUUAAUUAGCAAAUGCUACAUAAGUGACCAAAAUCCAGCAACCCACGAGUCCCACGAGAACUAGAAGUCGUAUUCUAGCUCAACCAGGACCAGGAAAGACUUGUCCCAAAAUAAAUAAUUUUUUUUUUUUUUUUACCAAGCAAGUUAAGACUUCUUGGUAAAUGAUGCAAGCAAGUUAAGACUUUUUUUUUUCCCAAAAUAAAUAAAUGAUGCAUAAAAUUCUUGGUCUAGCUGCAUGCUUUUCCAAAUUGACAUUCUAGCUUACUUUAGAGUCUUAAUCUCUUGAAACUUUUUGACAUGGGCUUCAUCAUCACUGACAAGACUCUGUACUCAUACUUUUGACUGCCAACUCCGCACUAAGCAGCCUGCUUGACUCUGGAGAGAGAAUCGAAGACUUUCAAACCAUAGUUAUUAAACCCGGCCCAGAAAGGAGACCGGCGAAGGAGGUGGGUCAACGGGUUAUUGGUUCAACCGGUGGGUGAGUGGUUGAAUCAUUGGGUCACUAAAUAUAUUUAAAUAUUAUAUCUUAUAAUUUUUUAUAUAGGAUAUAUGAUAUAAAUUUUAAUAAAUAAUGUCAUAACAAAUGCUCAUUUGAUUUAAUUUGCUAUAGAAUAAUUAAUUCAUAUAAGAAUCAUCAAAACAUAAAUUUAAUUAGUGAUCCAUCAAAUUUCAAAUGUAAAAUUUUAUCUAUGUUUAAUGUAAUUAUCUAGGUUACUUACAAAUUUUAAGUGCAAAAAAUUAUUAAAAACAAUAUUUGUCUUUAAAAUAAAUUAUGUAAUAUGUUAUUUUUUAAAUCAAUUUUAUAAUUUAUAGAAUUUGGGGGUCAUAAGUUUGUAUUAAAAGAUUCCAAAUAAAUUUUUUUUGGAGAAAUAAAAAAAAAAUAAAGAUAAAAUUGAUAAAACGUUCAUAUAGUAUAAGAAUGAUAACUAAUUAACAUGUAGCGAAAUAGCCUGGUGGUGAGCUUGUCAUAAACCUUGCUGAAGGUCAUAGGUUCGAAUUCAACCAAUAACUUUGUAAAAUUUUUCCCUCAAAACCGGCUGGGUUUCCGGUUUAAUCCGGUUGAACCACUGGGUCGUUGACUAGUCAACGGUUCCAGUGUUUAACCGAUCUAAUUAGAGACUCGGCCCGGUCUACUGGCGGGUACACUGGGUUGACCGGUUCGACCGCCGGGCCGGGCCGGAUUUUAUAACUAUGUUUCAAACUGUACUUUGGCAGCCAGAUUGAGUUUUUUCUCCAUCUUAUUAAAAAUUAAUUAAUUAAACACUCAAAGGCUCAUUAUCUAAAAUUCUGUAAGACAUAUAUAGCAAUGUUUGUCACUAACUUAAAUUGGAUCCUCAGCAAUAUUUGUAACGUCAAGAGCUAACCUUAAUUUUAAGCGUGGAUCGAUCUACACUAUCUCCAGUGGCCAAAGUUAAAAUGAACUUUUAACUAUGAAUUUUUAAAAGUAUUGCUUGUUCCACCACUAAUUUGUAAAGAGCACAUAAAAUAAAUUUACUUGUUCUAUGUUAUAUGAAUGUUAUGACUAUUACAAGUAAUUGUUCAGAAAGUUAAGAAAUAUUUGCAUCUUAUUUUGCCCUCACUAAAGGAAAAUUCUGGCCCCACCCUUUCAAAGGGUGCAAAACUUGUAUUGGUAACAGCAUUAGAGAAAUAAAAUAAAUAAUUUAAAAUUAUCUGUAGCUUCUCUACCUCAAAAGGUAAUCUGAUCAGCACUUAUUUUAGGAUUGCAUACUUUAGCUGCAAUUUCAACGAGUAGCUGCUUAUACAUCAAGGCCAUCGAUCAAUCUCAUCGGGUGAUCCACCGUCUUCACCUUAGAAUAUCCUAUUUAAAGUAUCGGCUCUUUACAGAUAUUUUAUUUUCAAAUAUUUAAUUUAUGAUAAAUAUAUUAACAUUUGUAAUUAAAAAUUAAAAAGUGUUAAAGUAAUAUUCUUGCAAAAAAAAAUUAGUAGGUUAUCUAUUUAAUAUAAAUUAAAUAUUUUUAAAAAAAUAAAUGGCCUCAUAAACUAUUAAUUUUUUAUGACUUUCAUCCAUUACAUGAGUAAAGUAUUGGCUCUUUAUGGAUAUUUUAUCCUGAAUCAUUUAAUUUAUGUUAAAUACAUAAAUAUUUAUAACUAAAAUUGAAAAAGUGUUAUAUCAAUAUUUCUACAGAAGAAAAACUGGUAGGUUUUGUGUUUAACAAAAAUUAAAUAUUUGAGAGUAAAUACAAAUCUGUAUUUAAGAAUAAAUAUUUGUGAUAAAGUAAAUGUUUGAAAGUAAAAUACAUGUAAAGAGCUGGUACUUUAAAUAGGCAAUACGUAUUUGCCUAUAAACUACACUCGUUAAAGUUUAUUAAUUGUUAAUUAAUUUGUAAUACUUUGCCAUUCAUUAGACAUGUGGCACAAAGGACAAAUCAGGUACAAAAUUCUAAUUUCACUCUCUAAAAUAAUAUUUUAAUCAUUUGGACUGAAUUUGUAAAGGAUUAGUAACCUCAGGGGAGGUCAGUGUAAUUGUUCAAACCACAGGGGAGGUAAGUGUAAAUGUCAGAAACCUCAGGGGAGGUUUCUGAAAUUAUCCCAAUAAAAAAAGAGAAAAAGUUCCCCACAAAAAAAAAACUUUGAUAAUUAUGUAUGAUGCAUUAAAGUUUAGAUGUGUAUAAAGCUAGCCGUGUCAUAAACAAGGGCAAAACUAGGGGAGCGGGGCAGGGCCACCGCCCCAAGUUCUAGAAAUUCAUGCAUGUCACCCAUAAAAUUUUGAGAAUUUUCAAAUCUUUUUUAUAUAUAUUUAACUAUUUGCCCUCCCAAAUUCUAGAAAGUCAUGCUUUCUACUGUUCAAAGUUUGAGAAUUUUCAAAAUUUUCUAUAUUUAUUGAUCUUUUGUCUUUCAAAACUUUGGCUCCUAAUUUUACAUGUGUAUAUAUUGUGCCCUCUCAAAUUAAAUUUUCUAGUUCUGCUACUGAAAACAAAUGUUUCUGGUUCCAUAUCUGCAUGGUUUACUCCUCUAGUGUAUUUACCCUCUAAGGAAGAUGUCUUGGGUUUGUGACAGCUUCUCCAAGGAUAGAAGUUUAAUACAUUUGCAAGAGUAAGAAAAGCUUGUGAAAUAUGAAAUUUCAAUAAACAUAUCUGGUGCAAGUUAUGUAGUUAGAUGUGUGCGUGAUGUGUACAGUUACACAAGUUGUGUAGUUAGAUAUAUGUCUAUGUAUAAUUAUGCUGAGGUAGUAUAAUAGGUAUGUAGUUGAUCAAGACUCUGCUUGCCAGCAAUCAAUUCGACAUAUGCUCCUACAUCAUUAACAUUGCACCUAAAUUUACUUGAGAUACCAAUUUAAUUCCCAUUUUCUUGAGGCCAAGAACUAUGGCCAAAGGAGCUAGGGAUCGCUGACUGAGCUACAGCUUCAAAUUCUUUCUAGUAUUGUGUGAUCAUACAUGUGAAAAGGUGCGCCAUUUGGCCUCAGAUCAAUCCUUCAAAGAUUUUAGAGACUGUUAUUGCAUUUUUCCCCCUUCUCACAAAGGGGUAUUUUAGAAUUUUUGAGGACAAAUUUAGCAUAGUGAGUAUAUAUUGUUACUGCAAUACUAAUAAUAGGGAAAGUAAAUAUAAUUUUUCAAACUAAAGAAGAGCUGCCUGCAAUAGUCAGAAAUCUCAGGAGAGAUUUCUUAAAUUAUCUCAAUCUUUAAAGCUUAAACGGGAAAACCACGCGCAGACACCAGUCCGAGCCGAUUGGUUAGAAAGAAAAGCUUUGUCGUCCACCGUACUUGGAACCUUUAAUCUUGCAAAAAGUUUUAUGCUAUAAUAAAAUUCUUGGUCGUGUUUUGGACAUUACCGCGUACUAUCAUUUUGAUGAAUGUCUCUUUGAUGCAGUCUCAAGUGGUUUUCUACGCCCAUCAUAUUAAUGUGCAUACAAUAUUAUGGUUUCUAAUUGAGCGGCGUGAGAAUUUUUUGUGCCUGGUCCAACAAUUCCUAGCCUUUCUCACCUUGAUAGAAUAUUCAUAGGGGCUGCUUGGUUAAAGGGUUUGGGAAUCAGCUAAUGGAAUGAACCCCUUAUUUGUUGCUUGGGUUAAGUCUAUUGGAAUGCAAUUUCUGGAAUCAUUUCUAAAAACUCAUUCCCGAGUAAAUUGGGAGGUUUUGGACAAAACCCUCAACUCAUUCCCGAGCAAAAAUAUUUAUGACGAACUUACCCUCUCUUUUUCUUCAUUACACGCCGCACCUUCUCUUCUUCUUCUUCAUCAGAUUUUCUAUCUCUUCUACUUCACCAAUUGGACAACCAUAAAGAUCAGUGGGGUUCGAUUUUCCUUGGACAACGAAUUCUGGAGUUGAAGAGUCUUCUACUAGGGUGAAUUUCUUGAUUCCAGGUAAGUGGAUUACAAACUCCCUUGGCUCUGCAAUUUUCUUUCCCGUAUGCAAGUUUCUCUCUUCCUUCUUCUCUGCUUUUUCAAGCUACUCACUGGGUAGCUAAAAAUAAAGAAGGAAAGAAGGGAAUCUGAGACAAUAAAACUAAUUGGACCAAAAUGUUGCUGAAGAUUCUUUUUAGGGGCUGACGAUAAAGAAGGGAAUUCUUUUUUCAAGCUACUCAUUGGGUAGCUAAUGUGUUUUCUUGAAUUACGCAUUCUUUUUAGGGGUUGACGAUUCUUGAUCUUUUGGUUAUUUGAUCCGUGAAUACUGGUAUAGUUUGGGUGGGCUUCUACAUGCCCUAUACCUGUUUGUAAAAUUGUCUGCCUGAAUAGUUUUCAGUUUCAUAGUUAUUUAUACAUUAGGAUUUCGAGUUUCAACCAUCAAUUUCGUUUAUUUAUGCUUAUUUAUAUCUAUAUAUCAUUGUGUUUAUGGAUGUAUGAUGCAUGUCUAGGCCCUUUUAAUAAGAUCAAUUAAUGUUUAAUGCAUUUAAAGAUUUUGAUGUCAUAAUCUAGUUUGGUGAAUAUUGUUGUUUGGUUGUCAUAUUGCAAAAGUUGGCUUGUGAUCCAAUGUGGAAAUCAGAUGGAGGAUUUAAAAAUAAUUAUAUGAGCGAAUUGCUUAAAAUUAUCUUGCGUAAAUUACCUACUUUUACCAAACAAGUCAGCCCACAUAUUGAAUCAAAAGUUAAGUGGUUGAAAAAUAGGUUCCAUGCAAUUGUUGAAAUGUGCAAAGAAAGUGGUUGUAGUUGGAAUGAUGCUGAGAAAAAGAUUUCUUGUGAAAAACAGUGGUAUGAUGAUUGGUGCAAGGUAAGAAAUUGAUUACUUUUUACAUUCUGAUAUGUCCUUUUUCAACAUUUUAUUAAGAUUAUUAUUUAUCUUUCUAUUCUAUCUCUAGACUCAUAAGGAUGCGAAGGGCCUUUGGGAUGUCAAAUUUUCAUAUUUAGGAGAUCUUGAAAUUCUAUAUGGAAGAGACAGAGCCACUGGAAAUGUUGCUGAAGAUUUUGCACAAGCUGUCCAAGAUAUGGAAGAUGUCCAAAAUUUGGAGGAAGGAGAUGAAGGGCUUGAUGCUAUGUCAAACUCGGAUAAUGAUAACCUUCAAGAAGAUGAAGUAAAUUCCAUGGAGCAAUCAACUCAACCAAGUUCAACAAGCACAAGAAAUUCCAAGAAACAAAAGAAACAAUCACCUCCCAUUGCAAAUGUGUCAAAAAAAAUGAAAUCUGCAUCAACAACAAGGAGUGAUCUUAAUGCAUCAUUGCAAUUUCUCACCAGCAAAUUUGGAGAUUUCGUGGAGGGAAUUCAAGCUAAUUUCACAACUAUGGCAGCAGCCAUGUCAAAUGAGGAUAAACGUGAGCAAUUGGUCUCCGAUAGAAGAGAUCAAGUUGUUGCUGAGUUAAUGAAACUUGCUUUACCGAGUGGAGAUGUAAUGAAUGCAGCUGACAUACUUUCGGAGCAGAUUUCCAAGCUUCAUGUGUUCUACAAUCUCCCUGCAGAAAUGAAACGACAAUAUGUAAUUAACCUCAUUUAUCCUCCAUCCACUCGCUGAAGUAAAAUUAUUGUUAGCAGGAAAGUGAUGAUUUGAUGGCAAUUUCUUUUUGUUAUGGUGAUUAUUAGAUGGUUAUAUGAUUAGUCUUUUGGAGAUUAUGGAUAUUGAGUGGCACUUUCGACUGGAUUAGACAAUUGAUUUGUAUUUGGUAUGGUUAGCUUUUGUGAUUUGAGUCUCCUUUUUUUGUUUAUAUAUGUAAGAAGAAAUCUAUUUCAUAUCAUUAUCUAAUGUAGGAACCACGAACGACUUGUUAAUGGAGUAAAUUCCCAAAAAAAGGAGUUUUUAAACUAACUUCCUAAAGGUGGCAAUUUUUGAGUCUCUUCCUAAAGAGUGGAAAACGCGUUAAAGAAAUGUGUUCUUCCAAAUAAAAACACAACUUUCAAAUACAUUAUUUUAAUUUUCGUAAAUUUGUUUAAAUAUAACAAAAUGGUUAAAUAGCGUAUUAAAUACAAAACCUGUCAGUUUCCCAUAAAGAGCUGGUAUCUUAUGGGCAAUUUCUUUUUUUUUUUUUUACUUUCACAUAUUUAAUUUAUGUUAAAUACAAAACAUACUAGUUUUCCUUUGGGCGUUAUUUAACCAAUUUUUUUCAUAAAAAACUGGUAUGUUUCCUAUAAAGAGUUGGUACAAAACAUACUACAAAACCUGCCAGUUUCCCAUAAAGAGCUGGUAUUUUAUGGGCAAUUUCCUUUUUUUUUUUUACCUUUCACAUAUUUAAUUUAUGUUAAAUACAAAACAUACUAGUUUUCCUUUGAGCGCUAUUUAACCAAUUUUUUUCAUAAAGAGCUAGUAUGUUUCCUAUAAAUAGUUGGUACAAAACAUACUACAAAAUCUGCCAGUUUCCCAUAAAGAACUGGUAUCUUAUGGGCAAUUUCUUUUUUUUUUUUUAACUUUCACAUAUUUAAUUUAUAUUAAAUACAAAACAUACUAGUUUUCCUUUGAACACUAUUUAACCAAUUUUUUUCAUAAAGAGUUGGUAUAAAUCACGCUUCAAAACCUGCCAGUUUCCUAUAAAAACUGGUAUGUUAUGCACUAUUUAAUCAAUUUUUCAUAUUUAAACAAAUUUACGAAAAUUAAAAUAAUGUAUUCGAAAGUUGCGUUUUUAUUUGGAAGAACGCAUUUCUGGAAUGCGUUUUUCACCCUUUGAAAAGAGACUCAAAAAUCGUUACAUUUUGGGAAGUUAGUUUAAAAACUCCCUUUUUGUCGUAAAUUUACUCCUUAUUAAUGCAGCCACUAUAUUUAUUUUUUGGUAUUAAUUUUUUUUAUGAUUUAUGAUUUUCUUAUGUUUUUUCAAAAAGUUAAUAAUUAUUGUAGUUACAAUUAUGAAGAUGUUAAUUUGUCAUAUGUUUAAUUCUUUUGUUUUAGAAGAAUUAUUAUAUCAGGGGUAUAUUUGGAAUUUAAUUGCAUUUAAUUCCGAAACACUCAUCAAACCAAGCAUCAAGAAUUGGAAUGAUACUAAUUCCAAUGUGUGAACCAAGCUAGAUAUUGGAAUGAAAAGUUUUAAUUCCAAAACCAGAGUCUAUGAUUCCAUUUCCAUUUCCGAUUCCAAUAUGUGAAACAAGCAGCCAAUCUUAGUGUUUUCUUACAUAAGCCCUCUAUAAUUUCAAAAUCAUAUGUAAUCCCCUCAUAAUUUGGAUUAAAAUGUCAAAACAACGAAAUUUGCAAUCCAUAACGGAGAUAACGAAAAUGUCAAAAAUACCUCCUAUAUAAAGUUAAAAAUUAUUUAUUAACCACAAGGGAGGUUAUGUGUAUAUAUUGAAAAUCAUAAGGGAAUUAUAUGGUAAAGUACCAAGUCAUAAAAGGGCUAUAUAGUAAAAUAUAAAAUCAUACGGGAUUAAAAUGUCAUGAAUAUUAUGUUUAUAUAUUUUAGUCAUUUUUAGUUUUUAAACAAGGGUAAUUUUGAUAUUUUCAUAAGUUCCGUUAUAGAUGAUCAUUUCCGUCACUUUAACAAUUUAAUCCAAACUAUAAGAAGUUAUAUAUAGUUUUUAAAACUAUACGGAGAUUAUGUGAAAAUUAGCUAUACUCCAAGAGGGCAAAGUAUAAUUUGCCCAAGUUCAAAUAUGCAUGUCCAGUAUAUGUCGUGCUUCUUUUGCAAGUGGUUCUAGUCGUGGAGUAUUAUGCCAUAAAGACUAGUUAGAAGACCACUGUAGGUUUAGAAUUGAUUUUCAUUUAUAGAAUAUCCUUAGUUCAUCUGGCAAUAGAUGAUGACUAGGUAUAGAUGUAUGCUAUUUAUAAAAACGUAACAAUGAUGUAAACAGAGAUACUGUAUCAUGAAUUUAAUUUUGUUCAUAUUUAAAAAAAAAUUAUUGACAGAGUAAUUAGAAACAUUAAUCUGUUAAACUCGUUGAUGUCUUCACUGCUUCGCGUGAUGCACACUUAUUCUAAGAAAUUCAACAAUCAUUAUUUGUCCCUGAGAUUGAUUGACACAACAUGACAAUUAGAGCGGAAAACAUUAGUCCGAAAGUAGCAUUACUCAGUUGACCUUAAUUCUUUCGAACAAAGCUGCGCCUGCAAAUAUACAUGCUUAGGUAUGACAAUUGAAUAGGUUUAGGAUAGAAAACGCACCAAUCUCCAGUCUUACCAACUAGACCUUUUUCUGAAUUAACAUACUUAAUUCGCUCCACGUCCUCCAUGUUUAUUUGAUAGCACUAAUAUAUUUUAAAUUCUAGUUGAAUCAUGAAGACCUUUGACUUAUGCCCAUGAAAAAAGCUUGACCCCAUGAUUUAAUGGUAAGAGCAAAUUACAUUUUACCCCCUCGUGGUUUCCGCAAAAACCACAUAAUCUCCCUAUGAUUCUAAAAGUUAUACAUAAAACCCCUAUGGUUUGGGUUGAAGUGUCAAACAGACGGAAAGCACCCAUUGUGACGAAUCAUGGGCAAAAUGUCCAAAUUACCCUAAUAUAAAUACAAAAAAAGGAGCAAAUGAAGUCACAUUUUCCCUUGCUCUGGUCUUUGUCGUGAGAAAGAGAGAGAAAAAGACCACCGACGAACGAAGGAGAGAAAGAUUUAACUAACUUCAAUGUAGGAAUGCUGUCAUUUUCAUUGGAUUGGAACAAUACAGUUGGAUGCAGUUACAUGCAUCAUAAAUAGAUUUAAGUGAAAACUACUACCAUGAAGAUUCACAUUCUUGAUAUCUGGAGAGGAACUGUUGCUUCAAGAAUUUCCUCCCUUCAAGAGACGAGCUGAAUCUUGUCCCAGCUUCGAAGUCGCUCCAUAAGAUGCCUGCGACAAUUUUCUGCAGCCAUGACUCCGGUUGAGUAGGCACCAUGAACAAAUCCCUGAUGAUCCACGCUGACAGCCUCACCUCCGAAGAAAAUAUUGCCUGCUAGUGCUCGGAGCUUGUCAUAUAUGUCCGCUAGGUUUCCAACCAAAUCAUAAGAGUAGCAUCCGAGAGAGUUUGGAUUAGAUAAGGAGUACAGAUCUAGACUUUAUUGGGUGCAUUAAAGUGGUCAGGGAUAAUAUGGAAAUGUUUCUUAGUGCUACCAGUAGUACAAGCGCGUUUAAGCCACGAAUCGUUACGAUGGAUGCUUUCCGUUUGUUUGACACUUCAACCCAAUCACGGAGGUUUUAUGUAUAACUUUUAGAAUCAUAGGGGGGUUAUGUGGUUUUUGUGGAAACCACAAGGGGGUAAAAUAUAAUUUGCCCUAAUGGUAAUAAAAAGUUAGCCUCUAAUAAUGCAAAUUGAAAUCAAAGCUACAUUAUAAAUCCAUUAUUUGCAGAUAUUUAUGUUAUGAUUUGCUUAUCUUUUAUUGUGGGUUUGUCAACUAGUAAGUGCUUUUUCUAUGAUUUUCAAGAAAACAAAUUGGAAGAUUGAAUUGAGAAGAUAUGUAGAAAAAUCAAGGAUUUUGUAGUGAAAAUUACCAGAGAUAUGAUUGGAUAUAUCUUUGGGCACUUAUCAAGGAAUGAUGGUUAAAUUCGGAAAAUCUUAUCAUGCAAUUACACCUUGCCCAACCAAAUACGAACCCAAUUACAAUCGAACUAUGGAAAGAAGUUUAGUGGGAAUUGGAGAGAGAUUUUCUCUGUCAAACAUCUUAUUUCAUAAUGUUUAGUCAUGAGAGCUUAUCAUCAGUGCAAUUUUUCUUACCUUAAAUGAGAGAAGCAAAACAUCCAAGAAUAGGAAUUCAUUCCUUCAUGCAGUAAAGUUGAAGAUUGCACUGAGGACCGAGGAGAGAAUAUAUAUGCUAGCUAGACAAUUAAUAGGGUAAUUCCAAUAUGUAAUAGAUUGUGUUUUUGCUGCAUGGAAUGAAAGGCAGGAUUGCACGUUUUGAUUGAAGCUAGAAUCAAUUGUUGUGUAGAAUGUAGAAUUAAGCCCCGGCUAGAAGAUACAACAGGCACAACGAAAAUGAAACUUUUAAACUUUUUGACCAAGUUGAUUUAGAUGUGGCACAUCCAUGGAGAUUGCAAGAGUUGGGCCACGGGGACGAAAAUCUUAACUUCUACUAUUUGUUAACUAAAAGUGCAACGAUUUGUAUGGUUCUUUUCUUAUACUUAUUUGUUUAGUUCCUUUCAAGGGCAAAUAAAAUAAGCCAUCAAAGUAUCAGAUUGGAACCAGUGAGGAUUUGUGGUCAGAAGAAUUGUCAGUUGCUAUUGUUUUUUAAAACCAUGUAAACCAUACUUUAGGGGCUACAAACAAUCAUAAACUUUCUGUAAAUAUUUUGGACAAAGGUGCAAAUACAUUUUGUUAUUCACAGACCUGUAUUAAAUUUCUAGUGUUAUAAGUGAUCAUAUUAUAGUAGAGGAUAUAACUUCUAUCAUUAAUACAGAUUUUAAUGGAAUUAUGAUAUUUUAUUAAAAAAAUAUAUUUUAGGAUAUAGUUUCUGGAGCCAACUCUAAGAUGACUGACAAUGGAGGAGAUCAUAUCCUUGGUCGCUUUACUUUGAUCGCUACACGGUUCUAACAAUUCACGUGGAAUCCACUUUUAAGUAAAACUUUCAUGUUGCCAAAAAUAAUCCACCUAAAAAUAGAAUUCUUUCUAUUUUAUAAUUUCUAUCAAUUAAAAAGUACGUGGCUCAACUCCUGAAAAUGACGAACCUUUCGUCUGCCAUCACACAUAGGGAUGGCAACGGGGGACCCCUCCCCCAUCCCUCGCCCCGCUGCCUACAAACUCCCCCCGCCCCCGCCCCGCCCCCGCCCCGCUUCACCAGCAGGAUGAAUAAAAUUUUCCCCGUUGAGUUAAUAAAAUUUUAUUAUAAUUAAAUUUUAAUAAAUAAUCAAGUACUAAAAUAUCAACACAGCAUCAAGUUAUUAUUCAUUUUAAUUUUACAAUUGAAACUCAUAAAAACAAUCAAACAAAAGUUAUUUGAAUACAAUCCAACAUGAUGAAAUAAAUACGACUAAAAUAGUUAAGUUUUCACUUUUGGUACAAAUACAAUCACUAAUUCAUUAUUGUGUUUGUGCUUUUUUUUUUGAGAAAAAAGUGUUAUUCUAUUAAGUGUAAUUAGAAAUUUAGUAUAAAUGUAUUAGUAAAUUUAGUAUAACUAAUUAAUAAAUUCUAUUAGUAGACAUGUCUAAUUAUUCGUAUAAUUGAUAAUAUCAAUUAUAUUACAUACACUAAUAUACAUUAUAUAAUACAUCUAACUAAUAAUAUCACUAUCAUAAGUUUAUAACUAAUUAAAUUACAUAUUAUAUAUAAUUAUAUCUAUAUAUAUUUUUUGCGGGUGGCGGGGUGGGGGUAUACUCCCCCGCCCCCGCCCCGAGAGCCUCCGCGGGCACCCGCCCCCAUUGCCAUCCCUAUUCACACAUGAAUUGUUGGGGCCGUGUAGUGAUCGAAGUGACGUGACUGAGGAUUUGAUUUUGGACAAUGGGGCCUUUGUUUAUAUAAUUAACCUUGUCUGCCUUCUCCAAGGGCUUCCACUGAAACUCAAACUCCUCCUAGUUUUUAAGUAAGGAGGCAAACUAACAAAUCAGCCCAAAGACGAUGAGAGCCUCUCUCUCUUGUAGAGCUUUUCCCUCCUCAAUGUAGGAGAAAAGGUCUUUUGAAAUUUUGGGUCUUUUGAAAUUUUGAACUUUCACUUUGAAGUGGAGACUGCUGCAAAUCGUUCCAGGCAACUAGUGGCAAAUCACAAACCAUUUCAUCUUAUACACCUCCUCAAAUCAGUAAGAAUUGAGCUUUACACCAGCAUUCAGCCAAAGUAUACGAAGGAAACGGAUAAACACAGAGUUGUGGUGGUGGACCUGCACGGGUGGGGACCAAACCCUGUCUGAAGCUGGGGAACACAAAACAAAAAGGGGAAGUUCAAUCGACAUAAUGGGGAAGAAGUAUUUCUGCGUGUUCUCUUAUACAAGAAUAUAUCAGGUAGUAGCUUUUAUUGUUUGAAAACCUAGAAAACAAAAAAGGUAAGUCUCUUUCUAUAAAAUCUUGUCGUCCUUUAGUAAGUGUAGCUCUGUUUGCCUUGUCGUCUGUUUUGCCUCUUCUAACUAGUCUAAUAUCUUUGUGCUGUAAAUAAGGAGGUCAUCACCUCUUUUACUGCAGGUUUAGAAUCCAUUUGUGUACAUCUGUAGUGACUGUACUGGGAACACUCACAGCGUAACCAUGGCUGACUCCUUGAACAGAGCUUUUCAGAAGUUUGAUCUGGGGGAAAAGGAAGUAGGAGCUGUAGACCUAAGUUGGGGAGAUGUGGAAGAAGGGAGGGAGGAGUGUAGACUCAGCUUGGUAGGACGCAUUAUGAGGGAAAAGAUCGCAAACUUCACAGGAGUAAAAAAUUUCACAAACCAUGUGUGGGGAUACCCUAGGAACAUGAGGGUAACAGAGUUGGGACCAAAUGUGUUUAUGUUUAACUUUAAGGAGGAAAAGGAUAAAGAGAGAGCUCUGAAAGGCCGACCCUGGGUUCUGGACAAUCAGCUCUUAGUGCUAAAACAAUGGAGUGAGGGGAUUGAGAUGGACCCAGAGGGUUUUAAUACAUCGUACAUGUGGAUACAGGUAUGGCAGCUCCCAAUCCACUGGCUUUGUCGAGCACCAGGUUUUAAAAUUGGGGAAGUAUUUCAAGCAGUUAAGGACGUUAUAAUACCCCCAGGAGGAGGAAAGGAAGGAAAGCAUAUGAAAAUUUUGGCAGAAAAAGAUAUAUCCCAACCUCUUGUUAGAGGAUGUCCUGUCAAGCACAAUGGGGUUGAAGUAUGGGCUGAAUUUAGAUAUGAGAGAUGCCCGGAUUUUUGCUAUAGAUGUGGGGUAAUAGGACAUAGUGAUAAAACUUGCAAUUUUGAGGAUAAGACGGGGAAAAUUUUGAGAGAAGGUCAGUAUGGAGCGUGGUUGAAAGCAGGGAACAUUAUGACAUCUCCUAUGCGAAGUCCAGUGGGAGAAAAAGUGCCAGUUCAGGAGGCACAAACACAAAUCCAAAUACAAGGAAGGGAAACAUUGACUCCUGGACAAGAAAGAUGCAAAUUAAAAAAGAUGGCCCAAAGCAAAGAGACUCUAAAAAAAGCGGUGCCAGAGGAAGGACAGAAGGGUAUGGUGCAGAGUUAUAGUCAAGAGGGUAACUUGGUGGAAGGAAAGGAAAUAGUACUGAUCAGGAAAUUGGAGGAAAAGGAAAAAAGAAAGGAUGAGGGACAAGGUGAGGAAAAUCAGGUGAGUACUCCCUCAAAUACAGGGCCAAAUGAAUACACUGGGGAUCAGACAAGAGAUAAAGUACAGGAGAUGUGUGUAGAUGUAAGUGAAGGAGAGGGAGAGCAAGAGAUAGACAAUAGGCAGGAAGAAAAUGAGGUGGAGAAGAAUAGCACAGGGGAAUCAGGAAAGAUUUUAAAAAUGAAGGAGAGCUUGAAGGAAAAUGUGGGAACUGGACGAAAGCCUCGACUUGCAAAAGGGACCAUGAGAGGCAGAGGAGCCCCUCUGACAGAGAAAAGUUUGCAAUCAAAGCAGUUCAACCUGAGAGAGAAAAGGAAGACCAUGUUACGGGAUGAACCAGAGGACAUGAUUGUGGACUCAGAACCUACGGAACAGGGAAGAACAAAGGUUCAAAAGAAAGAAGUACAACUGGAAACACUGCUGAGGGUGACGGAGGCAAUCCCUAAAGGGCCUCCAUUGUGUCAAUGAAGGUUUGGGUGUGGAACUGUCGAGGUGCAGGGAGCCCCUUGACAGUUCCCCAACUUAAGGAGGUAAUACAUCUUCACUUCCCGGGAAUCUUAUUCCUCAGUGAAACAAAAAAUCAAAAAAAGUUUAUGGAAAGUGUAAGACAGAAGUUAAAUUUUGAAGAUAGUGUUAUAGUAGACUCAGUAGGUAAAGCUGGAGGUUUAGCUUUGUUUUGGAAACAUUGGAUAAAGGUGGUGGAGGUGGAACUCUCCAACUUUUACAUUGCUGCUCGUAUGAUGGAUAUGGAGGCAAGGUGUGAAUGGACUUUUAUUGGAAUUUAUGCUAGUACGGAUGAUGGAAGGAGAAGAAGUCAGUGGAGAGAGAUAGAAAGGACAAUGACAAAAUGGGGAGACAAAUGGAUCAUAGUAGGUGAUUUUAAUGAUAUAUUGUCAAAUGGAGAGAAGUGGGGUGGAAGACAAAGACCUGAGUGGAGUUUUGCUGACUUUAGGGGGCUAGUUACUGGGAAUGAACUAGUAGAUAUAGAAUACGAGGGUAAGCCUUGGACUUGGUGCUCUCAUUGGGAGGGUCAGGAGAUAAAACAACGACUAGAUAGAGCAUUGGCAAAUAAAGAAUGGACCAAACAGUUUGAAACAGCAAAGUGUAUCCACAUUGAAAAAGAGGCUUCUGACCAUAGUUUGAUUAUGCUUGACACAAUGCCAAGACGGAGAAAGGGGGGGAGGAGAUUUCAUUUUGACAAAAAAUGGGCUCAGUCGCAACACAUUCAGGAUUUGAUAAGUAGAGAAUGGGAAAAACCUCAACAAGGAUCCAAAAUGUUUAGCUUGACAAGGAAGGUGAACAGUUGUAAAAUGCGCUUGAUAGAAUGGAGUAAGGCAAAUGAGACAAAUUUUGGAAAAGAGAUAAAGUGUCUGAAACAACAGAUCAUGGAGGCAAAGGCAGGGGACUAUGGAAAGAAUAAAAGGGCUCAUAGUUGAACUAAAGCUGAAGCUUAGCCAGGCCUACAAACAAGAAGAGCUGUACUGGGCACAAAAGGCAAGAUGCAGGUGGUUGCGAGAGGGAGAUAAAAAUACAGCUUUCUUCCAUGCAAAGGUGAAAACUAGAAGGCAAAGGAAUAGACUAACAUGCCUGCAAGAUGAAACUGGGAAAUGGUGUGAGAUAGAACAGGAAAUUGAAGAGGAAAUAUGCAAUUUCUACCAGAAAGUAUACACAUCUUCUCAGCCAUCUGACAUUGAAGCAGUUACUGAGGGAGUUCCCCGUACAAUCACUAAGGAGAUGAACACAAUGUUGACUAAACCAGUGGAGGAGAGGGAGGUGAAGACUGCUUUAUUUUCUAUGCAUCCAGAUAAGGCUCCUGGUCCGGACGGUAUGUCCCCUUUUUUCUUCCAAAAGUACUGGAAUAUCUGCAAAACUGAUAUUGUGUUAGCCAUUAAAAGUUUUCUUUCUGGUGGGCAUUUGCUCAAAGCUUUAAAUAAAACUAUAGUGACCCUGAUUCCCAAAGUAGAAGCCCCUAUUAACUUGUCCCAGUAUCGACCUAUAUCUUUGUGUAAUGUCAUAUAUAGAGUCAUUGCAAAAGUGUUGGCAAACAGAAUAAAAAGAGUCAUCCCAAAGUGUAUUAGCUAUGCACAAUCUGCUUUUGUCCCAGGAAGACAUAUCCUUGACAAUGUCAUCCUAGCCCAGGAACUGAUUCACUUCUUGAAAAAUAAGAGAAUAGGUAGAAAUGGUUCCAUGACCCUAAAGCUCGAUUUAUCAAAGGCCUAUGAUAGAGUGGAAUGGCAGUUUCUUAGGAGAAUGAUGAUGAAAAUGGGCUUCUGCCCCAUCUGGGUAAAAUGGAUCCUAAACUGCGUCACUACUGCAGCUUACUCUUUCAAUGUCAAUGGCCAACAGGUGGGUUAUGUCAAACCACAGAGGGGCAUAAGGCAAGGAGAUCCCCUAUCCCCCUACUUGUUCCUUAUAUGCGCUGAGGGGAUGUCCAGUCUGAUGUACCAGAGUAUACAAAAUAAAGCUAUAACAGGAGUCCAAGUGGGAAAGGCAUGUCCACAACUGUCUCACUUACUCUUUGCUGAUGAUUCUCUCUUUUGCUGCAAAGCUAGCAUCCAGGAAGCUGAACAAAUGAAGGAGAUGUUUGCUAUCUACGAGAGAGCUUCAGGACAAGCUAUCAAUUACGAAAAAUCUGCUGUGUUUUUUAGCGCAAACACAAGCAAGGAAAUGAGAAGUAACAUCUGUGUUGCACUUGGGAAUAUGAAGGAAGCAGUAAGUGGCAAAUACCUAGGAUUACCUAUGCUGAUAGGAAGGUCUAAGCAACAGGUAUUUGGAUACAUUAAGCAAAAGGUGAAGGACAAGCUUCAAGGAUGGAAGAGGAACCUGUUGAGUCCAGCAGGAAAGGAGACCCUUAUCAAAUCAGUGGCAAUGGCACUUCCCACCUAUACCAUGUCAUGCUUCAAGAUUCCCAAAGUUUUGUGCAAGAACAUAAGUAGAAUGAUAGCUGCCUUUUGGUGGGGUGGGGGAGGAAAUGAAAGGAAACUGCACUGCACUAGCUGGAAAAAAAUGUCUCAGGUGAAAGGUAGAGGUGGUCUAGGAUUCAGAGACUUGGAAAAAUUUAAUGAGGCACUCCUGGCCAAGCAAAUGUGGAGAAUAAUUACCAAUCCAAAUCUGUUGGUAAGUCAGGUGAUGAAGGCAAAAUAUCUAGCAAGACCACAGAACUGGAGUAAGGAUCCCCCAAAAUCAGCCUCGUGGGUAUGGAAAAGCAUAAUGGGAACCAGGAAACUGGUGCAAGAAGGAAUAGGAAUGCGAGUAGGAGAUGGGAGAUCAAUUGAUAUUUGGCAGGAUAAGUGGAUACCAGGGAGUGACUAUGGAAGAUUAACAACUGUAAGACAUCCACAAUGCACGAUCAAAAAAGUAGCUGAACUGAUCACGGAUGGAGAAUGGAACCAGGCAGUUCUCAAACGUUGGUUUAUAGAGGAGGAUAUCCAAAAGAUAAAGGCCAUUCCAAUAAGCACCACAGGCUGCCAGGAUAGAAUGUACUGGAGAUACACCAAGUCAGGUGUUUUCACUGUGAAGUCAGCCUAUGAUGCAGCAAUGGAAGCAAGUAAGGAACGGCUGAAGGGAAGGGUGCAAACAAAUAUUGAAAGCACCAGUUAUGAUCAACAGAACUCAAAAAUCUGGAAGAAUGUAUGGUCCUUACAGCUGAAACACAAAUUAAAGCAUUUCCUGUGGAGGUGUCUGCACCACAGUCUGCCCGUGAAUGAACAGAUAAAUAGAAGGACAGGCAAAGGCACUCCAAUGUGUAGAAGCUGUGGGGAGGAGGUGGAAACAAUUGAGCAUAUGCUGUUCUUUUGCCAAGAUGCUGAAACGAUUUGGAAGCUAUCACCAGUGCAAUGGGAUGGUUUGAAGGACAUGAGAAGCAAUUUUGUAAGGUGGUGGGAAGGGAUAUUAGGAGCAAAAGAAAGGGAUCACGGACAGGAGCACAUAGCUCUCACCGUAAAUAUCCUAUGGCAAAUAUGAAAGGCAAGAAAUAGGAAAGUUUUUGAGGCACAAGAGGCAGAUCCCAGAAAGUCAGUCCAGCAAGCUCUAGUAGAGUGGGAAGAGUAUAUAGAGGCUCAAAAAGGUACAGCUGGAGAGUUCAUUCAACAAACAGCACACUCAAGCAAUAUAGGGAAAUGGAGUCCACCACCAGGGGGACUGAUAAAAAUAAACACAGAUGCUGCUUUCUCUAACAACAUGAGGAGAACAGGCAUGGGAGCUGUGGCUAGAAAUGCUGAAGGUAAACUGGUGAAAGUCUGGGCACGAGCUGCAUACAAAACUAGUGAACCACAAGUGGAGGAAGCAGCAGCAAUUAGGAUGGGAAUGCAAAUGGCUCACGAAGCAAACUGGAAGGCAGUAGAAUUCCAAUCUGAUUGCAAAGAGGUGGUGGAUAGGAUAAACAAGGAAAAUGGGCAGCAAUCAAGAGUAGAUGUUAUCCUGGAGGACAUUGCGAAUAUGAGAUGUUUGUUUGCAAAAUAUACUUUCUCUUUUGUCCAUAGAACUGGAAAUUGUUGUGCACAUAGUUUGGCUAAGUUUGCGGUACAGCUAACAAAAAAUGUUGAAUGGGAAGAGUACUUUCCCAUGUGGCUCCAUGAGAGUGCACAAAAUGAUUAUACAGGAAGCAAUCCUGAUGUAUCAAAUCUUGUACUAUCAAGUUUAUGAAAUGAAGAUUAUGGUGUUUGACAAAAAAAAAAAAA
Molecule: long non-coding RNA, 35505 nt
Filed under: Coffea arabica (coffee)
Lineage: Eukaryota; Viridiplantae; Streptophyta; Magnoliopsida; Gentianales; Rubiaceae
Description: long non-coding RNA (CARA_LNC001990)
Source: RNAcentral